This is a transfer RNA of Pelodiscus sinensis (Chinese soft-shelled turtle), 74 nucleotides long. It matches the Rfam family "tRNA". From Rfam's summary of the family: Transfer RNA (tRNA) molecules are approximately 80 nucleotides in length. Their secondary structure includes four short double-helical elements and three loops (D, anti-codon, and T loops). Further hydrogen bonds mediate the characteristic L-shaped molecular structure. tRNAs have two regions of fundamental functional importance: the anti-codon, which is responsible for specific mRNA codon recognition, and the 3' end, to which the tRNAs corresponding amino acid is attached (by aminoacyl-tRNA synthetases). tRNAs cope with the degeneracy of the genetic code in two manners: having more than one tRNA (with a specific anti-codon) for a particular amino acid; and 'wobble' base-pairing, i.e. permitting non-standard base-pairing at the 3rd anti-codon position. NCBI's taxonomy places the organism in Eukaryota, Metazoa, Chordata, Testudines, Trionychidae. The record is from Rfam.
GGCACUAUGGCUUAGCUGGCUAAAGCGCCUGCCUUGUAAGCAGGAGAUCCUGGUUUCAAAUCCCAGUGGUGCCU